GAUGAACGCUGGCGGCGUGCCUAAUACAUGCAAGUCGAGCGAACAGACGAGGAGCUUGCUCCUCUGACGUUAGCGGCGGACGGGUGAGUAACACGUGGAUAACCUACCUAUAAGACUGGGAUAACUUCGGGAAACCGGAGCUAAUACCGGAUAAUAUAUUGAACCGCAUGGUUCAAUAGUGAAAGACGGUUUUGCUGUCACUUAUAGAUGGAUCCGCGCCGCAUUAGCUAGUUGGUAAGGUAGCGGCUUACCAAGGCAACGAUGCGUAGCCGACCUGAGAGGGUGAUCGGCCACACUGGAACUGAGACACGGUCCAGACUCCUACGGGAGGCAGCAGUAGGGAAUCUUCCGCAAUGGGCGAAAGCCUGACGGAGCAACGCCGCGUGAGUGAUGAAGGUCUUCGGAUCGUAAAACUCUGUUAUUAGGGAAGAACAAAUGUGUAAGUAACUAUGCACGUCUUGACGGUACCUAAUCAGAAAGCCACGGCUAACUAUGUG
Molecule: ribosomal RNA, 497 nt
Filed under: uncultured bacterium
Lineage: Bacteria
Description: partial 16S ribosomal RNA
Rfam family: Bacterial small subunit ribosomal RNA
Source: RNAcentral